UCUCUGGAUGUGAGGCUCUGGGAGGGGGGGCGGGGGCCCUACACACUCAUCUGCACUCAUCUGCCCUCUUCAAAAGGUACUAAGCUGCUUGUUUUCACAGCUGCUGUGCUGCUGGUCUUCAAGGCUACCAUGGAGCUGUGGAGAGGAAGAAUCAGCACCUCCCUCAACACAGCCAACGCCCUUCCCAAGAAUGGCUGCCCAGCAGGAUCACGUGACUUCCUUGCUCCAGGACCCAAAUGGACUUGAAGCAUUCAGUAAUGCCUACUGCCUCAAGAAUAAAGCCUACUCCUCAGAUCGGCAUUCGAGGCCCCUCAUGACAUGGGCUUGGUGUCUGCUCAUCUCUCACCACCAACACCUCCCAGUUUAUGCUCAAUAAUUCUGACCUAGUUGUAUUUACCUUCACAAGUGCUGCUUUCUUAUGCUUGUCCAUUCACAGACUGUUCUUUCUUUAAUGCCCUAAACAACUCCAACCUCAUCCUGCCCAAUGUUACCACUUAUCGCCCUGAAAAAAAAUGAAAGCAAAGCAACUUAAAAUCUUUCUGCAAUGAUACAGGAUAUAUUUAAAAAGAAAAUAAACAAAAAAUUUAAAAAUUUAAAAAAAUAAAAAGAAAAUAAACAGUGCAGCUGAGCAGUAUGCAAUUAUAUGAUUUGUAUUGAUCCUAUGCAAUUUGUAUUAUGUUUUUACUUUGUUCAGAACUGAUUGUUAAUUAUAGAAUUGUGUCUUCUGUACCAUGAAAGAAAAGGAACAAGGACAAUAGCUAAAAUGGCAGAGGAAGCCAAGCUAGGUCAAGAGCACUGGACCUUUGACAAGGAACACCUUUGUCAAAUGUCUCCAGUUUCUCAUCCUUGGAGUUUGGCAAAUUCCAUGGCUUCAUGUGUCCCAGGAACAUAACCCAGGUAUGAAGCUCCACCAUGGCUUCAAGCCCAGCUUUGCCUGAGGAGUGCUUAAAAUGGGCCAAUUCCAGUGCUACCUUGAAAACCUAUUGAAUCUGAUCCUCCAGAAGCAAAAUUAGACACCCCCACUUUAAGCCUCCAGAAGUGACUCUAGUGCACAGCCACUGUUGAGGAACUGUGGUCAUCGUGUCAAAGUUGUAUCACAUGUGAACUCACAUAGGGAUUAUUAAGUCUCUCACCAAAUCCUAAACUAAGAUUUAUAAAUUCAAAAUUCCCAGGCAAUGGGGAAUAGUAGGGACUGUGGCCAACUGAACACCCAUGCCCCGUCGCUGCUCACUGCUUCAGGGAAUGCCCAUGUGGAAAGUUGUAUUGGGUUGAAUGUUGGCCCCAAAAAUAAUAGGACCACAUCCUCGUCCCCAGAUCCUAUGUAUGUGACCUCAUUUAGAAAAAGAGUCUUUGCUCUUGCAAUGAAAUUAAAGAUCUUGAAAUAAGAUCAUCCUGGAUGACCGGUGGGCCUAAACCCAAUGACAGGUGUGCUCAUUACAGCAAGGCAGAGGAAAACUGGACACAAAGAGGAGAGAGUGUGAGGAUAGAAACAGAAUGUAGUUAUGCAGCCACAAGUCAAGAACGGCCUGGAUGCACCAGAAGCUGGAAGAAGCAACGAUGGAUUGUCCUCUUCAGCCUUCAGACAGAGGAUGGCCCUGCCAACACCUUGAUUUUGGAUUUCUGGCCUCCAGGACUGUGCAAGAAUAAAUUUCUGUUGUAUUAAGCCA
Canis lupus familiaris (dog) is the source of this 1667-nucleotide long non-coding RNA. RefSeq lists it as uncharacterized. The transcript has 2 exons. NCBI's taxonomy places the organism in Eukaryota, Metazoa, Chordata, Mammalia, Carnivora, Canidae. The record is from RefSeq and is a predicted model, not a curated record.